This 465-nucleotide ribosomal RNA is filed under the name Vreelandella stevensii. Its description in RNAcentral is "partial 16S ribosomal RNA". It matches the Rfam family "Bacterial small subunit ribosomal RNA", at positions 338 to 795 of the family's 1533-position model. Lineage: Bacteria; Pseudomonadati; Pseudomonadota; Gammaproteobacteria; Oceanospirillales; Halomonadaceae. The record is from RNAcentral.
CCUACGGGAGGCAGCAGUGGGGAAUAUUGGACAAUGGGCGAAAGCCUGAUCCAGCCAUGCCGCGUGUGUGAAGAAGGCCUUCGGGUUGUAAAGCACUUUCAGUGGGGAAGAAAGCCUUGGGGCUAAUACCCUCGAGGAAGGACAUCACCCACAGAAGAAGCACCGGCUAACUCCGUGCCAGCAGCCGCGGUAAUACGGAGGGUGCGAGCGUUAAUCGGAACUACUGGGCGUAAAGCGCGCGUAGGCGGUCUGAUAAGCCGGUUGUGAAAGCCCCGGGCUCAACCUGGGAACGGCAUCCGGAACUGUCAGGCUAGAGUGCAGGAGAGGAAGGUAGAAUUCCCGGUGUAGCGGUGAAAUGCGUAGAGAUCGGGAGGAAUACCAGUGGCGAAGGCGGCCUUCUGGACUGACACUGACGCUGAGGUGCGAAAGCGUGGGUAGCAAACAGGAUUAGAUACCCCAGUAGUC